RNAcentral lists this transfer RNA (72 nucleotides) under Laxta sp. AUS2. Its description in RNAcentral is "tRNA-Tyr". It matches the Rfam family "tRNA". From Rfam's summary of the family: Transfer RNA (tRNA) molecules are approximately 80 nucleotides in length. Their secondary structure includes four short double-helical elements and three loops (D, anti-codon, and T loops). The record is from RNAcentral. Lineage: Eukaryota; Metazoa; Arthropoda; Insecta; Blattodea; Blaberidae.
AGUAGAAUGGCUGAGGUGAAAGGUGAAAGAUUGUAAAUCUUUUAAGGAGUUAAUUUUGAAACUCUUCUACUA